AUUGAACGCUGGCGGCAGGCCUAACACAUGCAAGUCGAACGAGUGGCGGACGGGUGAGUAAUGUCUGGGAAACUGCCUGAUGGAGGGGGAUAACUACUGGAAACGGUAGCUAAUACCGCAUACCAUCAGAUGUGCCCAGAUGGGAUUAGCUAGUUGGUGGGGUAACGGCUCACCAAGGCGACGAGCCCUAGCUGGUUUGAGAGGAUGACCAGCCACACGGGCACUGAGACACUGUCACGACUCCGACGGUGUUCAGCAGUGGGGAAUAUUGCGAUAUGGGCGCAAGGCUGAUGCAGCCAUGCCGCGUGUCUUAGGAAGGCCUUAGGGUUGUAAAGUACUUUCAGUGGGGAGGCGUUACCCGCAGAAGAAGCACCGGCUAACUCCGUGCCAGCAGCCGCGGUAAUUC
This 406-nucleotide ribosomal RNA is filed under the name uncultured bacterium. RNAcentral's name for it is "partial 16S ribosomal RNA". It matches the Rfam family "Bacterial small subunit ribosomal RNA", at positions 30 to 526 of the family's 1533-position model. The record is from RNAcentral.